This 379-nucleotide long non-coding RNA is filed under the name Solanum tuberosum (potato). RNAcentral describes it as "long non-coding RNA (STUB_LNC006462)". Lineage: Eukaryota; Viridiplantae; Streptophyta; Magnoliopsida; Solanales; Solanaceae. The record is from RNAcentral.
CUAAGAACUAGACUUCACCGCCAAGCUCACUUGCUGGACUUCUCCGGCUAUUCGUCAACAAGAGAUGCUUCAGAAAGAUGCCAAUCUUCCAUGCAACAUUGUUUCAGUUCUCCCGUCCAACUUGCUAAUCUUCAACCACCACGUAUUUCAGUCUGAUCUUCUACGAAAAAUAGAGAGAAAAAAAAGGAGGUAUAAAUAGUAUCUGGGCAAACUUCUUAUGUCCAUGCGUGAAUGGGAAGGUUGAAAGAACAACAGAAAAUAAAUAUCAUCAUUCUCUUUUGUCCUCCUCAAGAACAACUUCUCCAAGACUAAACACAUGAUCUGCUGUAAUAGAUGCCUUCCUCUCCUUCCUAUCCAGUUUAGACAGAUCUCCUCCCAC